CGGUUGUCAUAGUUACUCAGUUAUGACAUCAGGGACAGGUUCCAGGGAAGAAGGAGGAGCAGUGGAGCAUGCCAGGCUGUCCCUGGACUUCUCUUUUGAAAGCUAAUGUAGGUUCAAGUCAAGAUGAGGGCUGACAUUAGAAAGUUUCCCACUUGCCUGGUAUGCAGUGCCACCAAUAGCAGCAGGAAGAGAUGAGGCGAAAGUCCAGAGCAACAGCCAAGCUGCUCUAGAACAAGUUAGUGGAAGAACAAGUUCAGGAUGUGGGUUUCCUGAAUUCUCAGGACCACGGAUGUUUUUUGGAGACGUUGGGCUUCGGGUGAGCUGCCAUUGGGGGAGGUCAGAGACCUGUCGCUUUUGCUGGUAGUGGGAUCUCGUAAAUGAUGAGUUGCUGACAUCGUGUGGCUCAUAGUGGGCUGGCAGCUGCUCCAGGAAGGGCUGCAAAGGAGCGGGAUGCAUCUCCACACCGGCACUGGGCGUAGCACCUACAGGUCUGAGCUGGGGUGCAGAUUCUGCUUUCCUGGCCAGCUCCCGGGUAAUACCAGAGCUGCUGGUCUGCAGCCGGCAGUCCGAGCUCCCAAACGGAACCCGUGUGUCCCUGAAUUCCUGAAAAAUCGAGGGACACUUGGUGUGCCGCGGUCCAGAGGAACUUUUAUUGCGCCCCGCAUUUCGUCCAGUGGCGGUACCGGACUGCCGCGCCUUAGCGGGGGGUGGAGGUGGGACGAAGACCAUCGCCCCUCCCCGAACCCCGGCCGGAGCUCCAGAGCCGCAGCAUCUCCGCCCGCGGACGCAGGCCUCGGAGUCUUCCCC
RNAcentral lists this long non-coding RNA (807 nucleotides) under Sus scrofa (pig). RNAcentral's name for it is "lncRNA (ENSSSCG00005046157.1)". The record is from RNAcentral. Lineage: Eukaryota; Metazoa; Chordata; Mammalia; Artiodactyla; Suidae.